Molecule: ribosomal RNA, 497 nt
Filed under: uncultured bacterium
Lineage: Bacteria
Description: partial 16S ribosomal RNA
Rfam family: Bacterial small subunit ribosomal RNA
Source: RNAcentral
GAUGAACGCUGGCGGCGUGCCUAAUACAUGCAAGUCGAGCGAACAGAUAAGGAGCUUGCUCCUUUGGCGUUAGCGGCGGACGGGUGAGUAACACGUGGGUAACCUACCUAUAAGACUGGGAUAACUUCGGGAAACCGGAGCUAAUACCGGAUAAUAUUUCGAACCGCAUGGUUCGAUAGUGAAAGAUGGUUUUGCUAUCACUUAUAGAUGGACCCGCGCCGUAUUAGCUAGUUGGUAAGGUAACGGCUUACCAAGGCGACGAUACGUAGCCGACCUGAGAGGGUGAUCGGCCACACUGGAACUGAGACACGGUCCAGACUCCUACGGGAGGCAGCAGUAGGGGAUCUUCCGCAAUGGGCGAAAGCCUGACGGAGCAACGCCGCGUGAGUGACGAAGGUCUUCGGAUCGUAAAACUCUGUUAUUAGGGAAGAACAUACGUGUAAGUAACUGUGCACGUCUUGACGGUACCUAAUCAGAAAGCCACGGCUAACUACGUG